RNAcentral lists this ribosomal RNA (467 nucleotides) under uncultured bacterium. Its description in RNAcentral is "partial 16S ribosomal RNA". It matches the Rfam family "Bacterial small subunit ribosomal RNA", at positions 28 to 506 of the family's 1533-position model. The record is from RNAcentral.
GACGAACGCUGGCGGCGUGCUUAACACAUGCAAGUCGAACGGAAAGGCCCUGCUUUUGUGGGGUGCUCGAGUGGCGAACGGGUGAGUAACACGUGAGUAACCUGCCCUUGACUUUGGGAUAACUUCAGGAAACUGGGGCUAAUACCGGAUAGGAGCUCCUGCUGCAUGGUGGGGGUUGGAAAGUUUCGGCGGUUGGGGAUGGACUCGCGGCUUAUCAGCUUGUUGGUGGGGUAGUGGCUUACCAAGGCUUUGACGGGUAGCCGGCCUGAGAGGGUGACCGGCCACAUUGGGACUGGGGUACGGCCCAGACUCCUACGGGAGGCAGCAGUGGGGAAUAUUGCACAAUGGGCGGAAGCCUGAUGCAGCAACGCCGCGUGCGGGAUGACGGCCUUCGGGUUGUAAACCGCUUUCGCCUGUGACGAAGCGUGAGUGACGGUAAUGGGUAAAGAAGCACCGGCUAACUACGU